ACGGGUGAGUAACACGUGGGCAACCAGCCCUUUAGAUUGGGAUAACUUCGGGAAACCGAAGCUAAUACCGAAUAAUACAAGGAACCACCUGGUUCUUUGUUGAAAGAUGGCCUUCGUGCUAUCACUAAAGGAUGGGCCCGCGGCGCAUUAGCUAGUUGGUAAGGUAACGGCUUACCAAGGCGACGAUGCGUAGCCGACCUGAGAGGGUGAUCGGCCACACUGGGACUGAGACACGGCCCAGACUCCUACGGGAGGCAGCAGUAGGGAAUCUUCCGCAAUGGACGAAAGUCUGACGGAGCAAUGCCGCGUGAGUGAGGAAGGCCUUCGGGUCGUAAAGCUCUGUUGUGAGGGAAGAACAAGUACCGGCAUAACUACCGGUACCGUGACGGUACCUCACCAGAAAGCCACGGCUAACUACGUGCCAGCAGCCGCGGUAAUACGUAGGUGGCAAGCGUUGUCCGGAAUUAUUGGGCGUAAAGCGCGCGCAGGCGGCUUCUUAAGUCUGAUGUGAAAUCUCGGGGCUCAACCCCGAGCGGCCAUUGGAAACUGGGAAGCUUGAGUACAGAAGAGGAGAGUGGAAUU
RNAcentral lists this ribosomal RNA (582 nucleotides) under uncultured Bacillaceae bacterium. RNAcentral's name for it is "bacterial SSU rRNA". It matches the Rfam family "Bacterial small subunit ribosomal RNA", at positions 102 to 668 of the family's 1533-position model. Lineage: Bacteria; Bacillati; Bacillota; Bacilli; Caryophanales; Bacillaceae. The record is from RNAcentral.